CUUACUGGAAGUGGAAGUGACAAAAAAAAAAAACCGACACAGUAUGAAUGGCGUGUGAGAGGGUAUGCAUGGUGUGUGCAUGUUUGCGAGUGUAAAUGCGAGUGCGAAUGUGUGUGAAUGCUGAAUGCGUGAUAUUUUUGUACCAAAUCUACACAGUGAUCUUAUUUGAUCCGGUCAUAGUUGCGGCUCGACCGUGACCGGAAGUGAUAGGAACAAACGCUUGCUUAGCCUUCGCGGCUAUGGGCAACUAGCACGAGCACAUUUCUUUAGGGCCUCCACGCUAUAAAGUUGUGGUCAGAGGUGAUGAAUUGAUCAGAUAUACUAGUUCGGAGUGAGUUGGUAUCUUUCCAGACUACUCGACGGACAAUGAGUAAAGAAGCGAUUCUGAUCUAA
This is a non-coding RNA of Nerophis lumbriciformis (worm pipefish), 393 nucleotides long. NCBI's taxonomy places the organism in Eukaryota, Metazoa, Chordata, Actinopteri, Syngnathiformes, Syngnathidae. The record is from RefSeq and is a predicted model, not a curated record.